CACGUAGGGCGCAAGCGUUGUCCGGAAUUAUUGGGCGUAAAGAGCUCGUAGGCGGUCUGUUGCGUCCGCUGUGAAAACUCGGGGCUUAACCCCGAGCCUGCAGUGGAUACGGGCAGACUAGAGGUAGGUAGGGGAGAAUGGAAUUCCCGGUGUAGCGGUGAAAUGCGCAGAUAUCGGGAGGAACACCGGUGGCGAAGGCGGGUCUCUGGACAGUUCCUGACGCUGAGGCACGAAGGCCAGGGGAGCAAACGGG
RNAcentral lists this ribosomal RNA (253 nucleotides) under uncultured bacterium. RNAcentral's name for it is "partial 16S ribosomal RNA". It matches the Rfam family "Bacterial small subunit ribosomal RNA", at positions 524 to 776 of the family's 1533-position model. The record is from RNAcentral.